RNAcentral lists this long non-coding RNA (1333 nucleotides) under Homo sapiens (human). RNAcentral's name for it is "long intergenic non-protein coding RNA 1229". Lineage: Eukaryota; Metazoa; Chordata; Mammalia; Primates; Hominidae. The record is from RNAcentral.
GGGAUAUGGCAAUGUGAGUUCGGCGUGGCAGCUAUCGUGGUGGUGUCAUGGUGGUGGGAACAGCAGUGAUGGUUUCAGGAAAGAGGCACUGGCCUUUACUUCUCCACCUCGAUUCACUUCCAUGCUGUUGACAAAUGUUAUAGUUGCCCAGGAUCAGAGGGAGAGACUGACCCUGUGACCAUUUCCCCAAAGGCGGCCUUUGGCCACUCCGUGCACUGGAGCACAUGACCCUCUGCCUCGCCCCUGCCACAUUAACCAGGCGGCUAUCUUAUGUGCCCAUGUUACAUGCUCAUGAUAAAGCUGCAUUUCCUGAGGGGACACCAAUGGAUACACCUCUGCCUGGCACGCAGCUUAGAGGCUAAAUGUAUGAAAAGCAACACCAUGCAAAUCAUUUUGAAACUGCUGUGGAACUCUCACGGGACCCUCCAUUCUAGACAUCCAGUCCCACUAGUGAUCUGACCAUGAAACCUACUAAGAGACUUCCAGAAGAAGAUGACCUCUGAAAGGAGAAAACUUUCUUCCAAGCUUCUGUGGAACAAGAAGAUGCCAUCCCUUUGGUGGAGCCCAAAGGGAAACCAGGUAGUUAGCAAGAGAAACUGUUGUUAUCAUCUAUGAAAGGUGCUUCCUGGGGUUUCAGAGGAGGGUGCAGAAGGGGAACAGUGAGUCUGGAGGGACAGAUGGAACAUUCCUGCAAUGCUAUCAAUCCAUAUCUGACCCUCAAUUCAUGAAACUUUCCAGACAACCCACCCUGACAGAUCCCUCUCUUCUUAGAGCUCUCACGUACCUUUCUUUUAGCAUUUAACAUUCAUAACCUCAAAUGAAUGAUUUCUAUGCAUGAGUCAUUUCCUGAGUAGACUGUCAGAUCCUUGAAGGCAGGAAGGCAAUGUAAUAUAAUGGAGAAUAUCCUAUGUCUUCAAAUAGUUAUGAAGAUUAGAAAGGCAAUCUAAGCAACAUCCUUAGCAUAUUACUAGGUGCACAUAAAAAGUGAUGAAUAGACAGAUUUAUGACUAUUCAUUUUUUUUAUCCUUCCUAUCCUUCACCAUGUGGAAGAUACACUGCCAUUACACACACCUCCAAAAAGAAAACUCAGCAUUUCUUAUGUAUCUUCUCUGGGUGAUUUACUAUGUAGAAGUUCAAGUAUGUUAUUAGAAUGCUUCCCCAAUUUAGUUACACACAGAUUCCACUUAAAGUACAGAAUAAAAUCUGACAUAUUCUUUUUAGUAUGAUGUUUUAAAAAAAUAUUUGGAAAGCAAAAUUCUGUUUUACCUCCCAAUGCUUAUUGCUGUUACGAAACUAUAAAACAAAAUAAAUUAAUAAAUUGAAUGCAAACAAA